This 85-nucleotide transfer RNA is filed under the name Phyllobacterium trifolii. RNAcentral describes it as "tRNA-Lys". Lineage: Bacteria; Pseudomonadati; Pseudomonadota; Alphaproteobacteria; Hyphomicrobiales; Phyllobacteriaceae. The record is from RNAcentral.
GGAUCGCGCCCUCCAGGGUUUCAUGCGCCAGAAGCACCGACUCUUAAUCAGCGGGUCGUAGGUUCGAUCCCUACUGUGCCCACCA